Long non-coding RNA from Oncorhynchus tshawytscha (Chinook salmon), 257 nucleotides. The record is from Ensembl. Lineage: Eukaryota; Metazoa; Chordata; Actinopteri; Salmoniformes; Salmonidae.
ACAGGCCUUUCUCUGUGGACCACUUUGAUGACUACCAGAAGCACUUCACUGUCGUGAACUUGCAGAGGGGGUCCAGCUCAAACAGAGGAAGUGACACGGGACUAUGCUUAUGGCAAGAGCAACCAUCUGGUGAAGAGAUGUCGAGUGUUGCAAUGGAUACCAGCUGACUUGGAAGGGGUCAGCACUCAGACCCCUGAACCCUCUGAUCUCUACUACGAAGUAGGGAGACCUGAAACAUGUUUCAUGUGUCAAUACAG